RNAcentral lists this ribosomal RNA (235 nucleotides) under Glaesserella parasuis. RNAcentral's name for it is "partial 16S ribosomal RNA". The record is from RNAcentral. Lineage: Bacteria; Pseudomonadati; Pseudomonadota; Gammaproteobacteria; Pasteurellales; Pasteurellaceae.
AAAUUGAAGAGUUUGAUCAUGGCUCAGAUUGAACGCUGGCGGCAGGCUUAACACAUGCAAGUCGAACGGUAGCAGGRAGRAAGCUUGCUUUCUUUGCUGACGAGUGGCGGACGGGUGAGUAAUGCUUGGGGAUCUGGCUUAUGGAGGGGGAUAACGACGGGAAACUGUCGCUAAUACCGCGUAAUGUCUAAGGACUAGAGGGUGGGACUUUCGGGCCACCUGCCAUAAGAUGAGC